Anolis carolinensis (green anole) is the source of this 883-nucleotide long non-coding RNA. RefSeq lists it as uncharacterized. The transcript has 3 exons. NCBI's taxonomy places the organism in Eukaryota, Metazoa, Chordata, Lepidosauria, Squamata, Anolidae. The record is from RefSeq and is a predicted model, not a curated record.
ACAAUGUAAGGGGAACAUCUGGAAUAAAUAUAGUACAACCCCCUUAUCUGCAGGGAAUAUGUUCCAAGACUCAUGCAUGCUGUGUAUUCCUGAGACAAUGGAUAAUAGCAAACUCAAUAUUUUGACUAUACUUGGAUGGGAAGCAUGCAUGAAAUUGCACUGGCUUAGACCCACAAAAAAUAGGGGGAAUAUUUUUUGGGGGGGCUUGGGUAAAUAAAACCAUGGAUAUUGAAUCAAUGGAUAAAGAAAUCAUACUGCAUUGAAAUUUCAAAUUAGGUCAAUCACUAAAUAUUUAUCCUUUUUUUUUUAGCAAUCUCUCUCUUCUGUAUAAAGAAUUCAAAGGGAAAUAAAGCCUCAAAGGGAAAUAAACCCUCUGCCUUCAUGGGCAGAUACCAAGGUAAGGCAUUGCCUAAGAAGUAUGAAGUACAAGUGGGACCCGAGGCAGGAGGCAAAAUGGACAAAAGAGCAGAGAAAGAUACUGGCCUAGACUACAGCUUUCUCACUGUGACAAAGAUCCAGCAGGAUGGAAGGAGAGACUAACCCACUCAAAAGGAGGGGAAGGAGAGACUACACACAUGCACAGAUGGAAAGGCAACAGAAACAUGCCAGGUGACCCUAUGAAGGUAAUUAAAAACAGCUGCUGCAGAACACCUGGAUGCACUGGACAAUGUGUCCCUAAACAUACAGAGGUACUUCUGUGUAAAGAAACACAACUUUCAAGAUGUAUUGAUCCAGAAAUUGCAAGAUGUGUAUAAAAUGACUUUUCUCCCUCCUGGCUGGUAGAAGUGCUAGGUAAAAUGGCAUAAGAAAUUGCUUUCAUUAAAAUGAUAUUUCCUGUCUGCCCCUUACUAUUACAAUCAUAGCUUUUUCUCAUCACAUGCAC